UGGGGAAUAUUGGGCAAUGGAGGGAACUCUGACCCAGCCAUGCCGCGUGCAGGAUGAAGGCGUUAUGCGUUGUAAACUGCUUUUUAUAUAGGAAGAAAUAGUCCUUGCGAGGAAAGUUGACGGUACUAUAUGAAUAAGCACCGGCUAACUCCGUGCCAGCAGCCGCGGUAAUACGGAGGGUGCAAGCGUUGUCCGGAUUUAUUGGGUUUAAAGGGUGCGUAGGCGGUUUAUUAAGUCAGUGGUGAAAGACGGUCGCUCAACGAUUGCAGUGCCAUUGAUACUGGUAGACUUGAGUAUGAUUGAGGUAGCUGGAAUGGAUAGUGUAGCGGUGAAAUGCAUAGAUAUUAUCCAGAACACCAAUUGCGUAGGCAAGUUACUAAGUCAUAACUGACGCUGAGGCACGAAAGUGUGGGUAUCAAACAGGAUUAGAUACCCAGGUAGUCCCUGAGCGGGCUGGCAAGGCGCAU
RNAcentral lists this ribosomal RNA (467 nucleotides) under uncultured bacterium. Its description in RNAcentral is "bacterial SSU rRNA". It matches the Rfam family "Bacterial small subunit ribosomal RNA", at positions 355 to 825 of the family's 1533-position model. The record is from RNAcentral.